AAUCGGAGCCACGAAGUCGUUUCGUUGUUUAGUCUGGAUCAGGUUCAGCGGGGGUCGAGAGGCCCCCGUGUAUUCCUGGGUCUGGCCAAACCUUGUAAGCGUACACUGCAACCAGUUAGACGAUCAGCAGUGGGCAUAGUGUUUGAGUUUAGCCAGCAAUGGAUGAGCUCUUAUACGAAGCAAUUGUUUGAUUGGGCUAGUAGUAGCGCGGUUGUGCUUCGGCAUUUCUCGUGUUGCUGGGCCCUUUUGAGUGAACUACAGCUGAAUACUGACUGGCGAAAUGAAAAUCGCCCUUGUGGCGUUAGAGACAAAGCAACUGACCGGAUGCGGGCCUACAUGUUCGACUGUUGGGUCUAAGCUUGGCGCUUUUGAAUUCAGACUUGCUUGCUACCAGUGGGGCAACUCCUGGUGCUUGUAUAGCUUCUGUCUAAUCGGGCGUCGACUUGGCCUAGCAUUGUUCGGAUGUGCUACGAUUGGGCUUGUAUGCGAGCUGGUUCGCAAUGUUAAU
RNAcentral lists this ribosomal RNA (508 nucleotides) under Abacarus acutatus. RNAcentral's name for it is "partial 28S ribosomal RNA". The record is from RNAcentral. Lineage: Eukaryota; Metazoa; Arthropoda; Arachnida; Trombidiformes; Eriophyidae.